CUUAAAUGUGCUAAGGUCAAGGGAAAUAAAAAUACAAAUACAUGCAAACACAAAGCUAGUGUAACUCCCUAUGAGUUGAUUUGCCCAAACUAUCAUGAAAAACCAGCACAAAGCACAAAUCAUAAACCUGUUCCAAUGGUCUAAGACUAUGAACUGUGCCUAAAAGCCACUUGGAGAAGUGACUGACUGAGUAACCGGGGGUGUAUCACCCAUGUACACAAUCGCGUAAAAAGGUCAGUGACUUUUUCAAAUAAGUUUCGAUGGUCUAGACUAUGAACAGAGCUAGUAGCCACUUGAACAAGUGACUAACUGAGUAACCGGGGGUGUAUCACCCAUGUACACAAUCGCGUAAAAAGGUUAGUGACUUUUUCAGGCAAG
RNAcentral lists this long non-coding RNA (378 nucleotides) under Manihot esculenta (cassava). RNAcentral's name for it is "long non-coding RNA (MESC_LNC000129)". The record is from RNAcentral. Lineage: Eukaryota; Viridiplantae; Streptophyta; Magnoliopsida; Malpighiales; Euphorbiaceae.